GACGAACGCUGGCGGCGUGCCUAAUACAUGCAAGUUGAGCGCUGAAGGUUGGUACUUGUGCCAACUGGAUGAGCAGCGAACGGGUGAGUAACGCGUGGGGAAUCUGCCUUUGAGCGGGGGACAACCUUUGGAAACGAAUGCUAAUACCGCAUAAAAACUUUAAACACAAGUUUUAAGUUUGAAAGAUGCAAUUGCAUCACUCAAAGAUGAUCCCGCGUUGUAUUAGCUAGUUGGUGAGGUAAAGGCUCACCAAGGCGAUGAUACAUAGCCGACCUGAGAGGGCGAUCAGCCACAUUGGGACUGAGACACGGCCCAUAGUGCUACGGGAGGCAGCAGUAGGGAAUCGUGGGCAAGGGACGAAAGUCUGACCGAGAAGCGCCGCAUGAGUGAAGAAGGAUGUCGGAUCGUAAAACUCUGUUGGUAGAGAAGAACGUUGGUGAGAGUGGAAAGCUCAGCAAGUGACGGUAACUACUCAGAAAGGGACGGCUAACUACGUG
RNAcentral lists this ribosomal RNA (497 nucleotides) under uncultured bacterium. Its description in RNAcentral is "partial 16S ribosomal RNA". It matches the Rfam family "Bacterial small subunit ribosomal RNA", at positions 28 to 507 of the family's 1533-position model. The record is from RNAcentral.